UGAGGGCCACCUAGCCAUGACAUCUGUCAUCCCAUUGAUAGUCAGGGUUGACUUCAAUGAUCUGGCUGGCUAAGCAGGGGGACCCUUUUCUCCCUCA
This is an unclassified non-coding RNA of Mesocricetus auratus (golden hamster), 97 nucleotides long. Its record names the gene 7SK. It matches the Rfam family "7SK RNA". Rfam says of the family: 7SK was discovered as an abundant small nuclear RNA in the mid-70s but a possible function has only recently been suggested. Two independent studies have found that 7SK RNA binds the CDK9/cyclin T complex (known as elongation factor P-TEFb). NCBI's taxonomy places the organism in Eukaryota, Metazoa, Chordata, Mammalia, Rodentia, Cricetidae. The record is from Ensembl.